AGCUGCACACUUUUUCCUCACCAUGACACUGCUGCCCUGACCGUUCAUCCUGUGUAACGUAUGGCAGUACUUGGUACCUGGUGGAAACAAACAAGAUGAUGCUGACUCUUGCCAGAUGAUGCUGAGUUACAGUGCAGAGCACAUGAUGGUUACAACUACAAGCUUCACACUAUCAAAGAUGGCAGAGUGGUCCAGGAAGAUGACUAGGUUCAAGAGAUCACAGCUUCUCAUCUUCAAAGUAUGGCACUCUGAUUCCGUAUUAAAUGGCACGCAAAUUUGCAGAACUGAAAACA
Branchiostoma belcheri (Belcher's lancelet) is the source of this 293-nucleotide long non-coding RNA. RefSeq lists it as uncharacterized. The transcript is spliced from 3 exons. Lineage: Eukaryota; Metazoa; Chordata; Leptocardii; Amphioxiformes; Branchiostomatidae. The record is from RefSeq and is a predicted model, not a curated record.